GAGUGAUCGAAAGAUGAAAAGCACUUUGAAAAGAGAGUUAAACAGCACGUGAAAUUGUUGAAAGGGAAGCGUUUGCGACCAGACUCGCCCGCGGGGUUCAGCCGGCACUCGUGCCGGUGUACUUCCCCGUGGGCGGGCCAGCGUCGGUUUGGGCGGCCGGUCAAAGGCCCUCGGAAUGUAUCACCUCUCGGGGUGUCUUAUAGCCGAGGGUGCAAUGCGGCCUGCCCGGACCGAGGAACGCGCUUCGGCUCGGACGCUGGCGUAAUGGUCGUA
This 273-nucleotide ribosomal RNA is filed under the name Aspergillus fischeri var. fischeri. RNAcentral describes it as "partial large subunit ribosomal RNA". It matches the Rfam family "Eukaryotic large subunit ribosomal RNA", at positions 351 to 642 of the family's 3401-position model. Lineage: Eukaryota; Fungi; Ascomycota; Eurotiomycetes; Eurotiales; Aspergillaceae. The record is from RNAcentral.